This 305-nucleotide ribosomal RNA is filed under the name uncultured bacterium. Its description in RNAcentral is "bacterial SSU rRNA". It matches the Rfam family "Bacterial small subunit ribosomal RNA", at positions 337 to 657 of the family's 1533-position model. The record is from RNAcentral.
UCCUACGGGGGGCAGCAGUGGGGAAUAUUGGGCAAUGGGCGCAAGCCUGACCCAGCAACGCCGCGUGAAGGAAGAAGGCUUUCGGGUUGUAAACUUCUUUUAAGAGGGAAGAGCAGAAGACGGUACCUCUUGAAUAAGCCACGGCUAACUACGUGCCAGCAGCCGCGGUAAUACGUAGGUGGCGAGCGUUAUCCGGAAUGAUUGGGCGUAAAGGGUGCGCAGGCGGUCCUGCAAGUCUGGAGUGAAACGCAUGAGCUCAACUCAUGCAUGGCUUUGGAAACUGGAGGACUGGAGAGCAGGAGAGG